AACUUUGUGCAGUGGCAGUAUCGUAGCCAAUGAGGUUUAUCUGAGGCACGAUUAUUGCUAAUAGAAAAAAAAAACAUCAAACCCAAAUGUGGGGCAGUCUAUAAAACAGCCACCAAUAAUCCUGAAAACUGUCAAGGUU
Molecule: small nuclear RNA, 139 nt
Filed under: Myotis lucifugus (little brown bat)
Lineage: Eukaryota; Metazoa; Chordata; Mammalia; Chiroptera; Vespertilionidae
Description: U4 spliceosomal RNA (ENSMLUG00000019537.1)
Rfam family: U4 spliceosomal RNA
About the family: U4 small nuclear RNA (U4 snRNA) is a component of the major U2-dependent spliceosome. The structure of U4 snRNA from yeast and human has been reported.
Source: RNAcentral